This is a non-coding RNA of Rhamnusium bicolor, 69 nucleotides long. The record is from the annotation of a GenBank genome assembly. Lineage: Eukaryota; Metazoa; Arthropoda; Insecta; Coleoptera; Cerambycidae.
UCCGUGGUCAAGUAGUGAGGACACUCGCCUCUCACUCCGGAGACCCGGGUUCGAUCCCCGGUCGAAGAG